Molecule: long non-coding RNA, 2421 nt
Organism: Oncorhynchus nerka (sockeye salmon)
Lineage: Eukaryota; Metazoa; Chordata; Actinopteri; Salmoniformes; Salmonidae
Exons: 2
Source: RefSeq, a predicted model, not a curated record
CUCCUCUCCUCUCCUCUCCUCUCCUCUCCCCUCCUCUCCUCUCCUCUCCUCUCCUCUCUCUCCACCAUAUUAUUCUUUUCUCUGUCUCUCUCUGACCCAAUUCCCUGUGCCAUCCUCCCUUCCCUUUCCUAACCUCUGGGUUUGUGCCAGCGUGAUACUGUAGGUAUCGGCAUGAGAAACAGCACUGCAUCGUCAGCUGUCUCUUCUGUAUCCAUGUCUAGCAUGGUGUACAUGCUGGUUAGAAGUAUUUUUUUUUUUUUGGGGGGGGGGGUUACUGAGGCUAUAGGGUCAGAUUGUGGCAUAUCAGUUGACUUACACUUGUUUUAAAUCGCCAUAAAACAGAAAUAUGUUUCAGUAUACGUACAUACUUUCAAGAGGUGUUUUACAAAGGAGUUUAUCUAGUGUUCUUUAUCAUCUUUUUCCAACACAAUCACUCAGAAAAGACAUUGCAGAUGACCCUUAGGGCUUUACAGAGGGCGUAACCUCUCAGAGAAACUCCUCUAGUGGCUGAGGCAUCACACCAUAAUACCAGCCAUAAGAGACCUUAGACCUUUUUGAUAUGACUCGUUGGCUUUCUCCUCAACCCCUUCACCUACUAAAGUAUGUUUGUGUCAAGGUUACCAGGUGUUGUGAUGAUUCCGGGUUGCCAGGUGUUGUGAUGAUUUCGGGUUGCCAGGUGUUGAGAUGAUUCCGGGUAACCAAGGUGUUGUGAUGAUUCCGGGUUACCAAGGUGUUGUGAUGAUUCCGGGUUACCAGGUGUUGUGAUGAUACCGGGUUGCCAGGUGUUGAGAUGAUUCCGGGUAACCAAGGUGUUGUGAUGAUUCCGGGUUACCAAGGUGUUGUGAUGAUUCCGGGUUGCCAGGUGUUGUGAUGAUUCCGGGUUGCCAGGUGUUGUGAUGAUUCCGGGUUGCCAGGUGUUGUGAUGAUUCAGGGUAACCAAGGUGUUGUGAUGAUUCCGGGUUACCAGGUCUUGUGAUGAUUCCGGGUUGCCAGGUGCUGUGAUGAUUCAGGGUAACCAAGGUGUUGUGAUGAUUCCGGGUUGCCAGGUGUUGUGAUGAUUCCGGGUUGCCAGGUGUUGUGAUGAUUCCGGGUUGCCAGGUGUUGUGAUGAUUCAGGGUAACCAAGGUGUUGUGAUGAUUCCGGGUUACCAGGUGUUGUGAUGAUUCCGGGUUGCCAGGUGCUGUGAUGAUUCAGGGUAACCAAGGUGUUGUGAUGAUUCCGGGUUACCAAGGUGUUGUGAUGAUUCCGGGUUACCAAGGUGUUGUGAUGAUUCCGGGUUACCAGGUGUUGUGAUGAUACCGGGUUGCCAGGUGUUGAGAUGAUUCCGGGUAACCAAGGUGUUGUGAUGAUUCCGGGUUGCCAGGUGUUGUGAUGAUUCAGGGUAACCAAGGUGUUGUGAUGAUUCCGGGUUACCAGGUGUUGUAAUGAUUCUUUCCUGAAGAGACUAACUAACCCUCGCCCUGUUCUAUACUGUGUGUAAUUGUCACCUGAACUUAACUCUACAUUCCUGCAUCAUUUAACCCUUAAAAUAUUAAGGAAGCAGACUAUCUGUGUAAGGACACUAAAUAUGGUUGUGUUUUGUUUCCUGAAGCUGUAACAAUAUAGAUCUAAGUCCAUGUACACUGAUAGGGAUAUGCAGUUUAUUUUGAGAAAUGUGUGUUAUGUUUUUUUUUUCUCUUGAUGUUAAGUAACUCUGACCCUUCUGUGGUUGGUGAGGCUGGUAGUUUUAUGGUCCAGAUUAUUCGUCCUUCAGAAUAAAAAAACGAUUCAUUUUUUGUAUGAUCAUGGAAGAUAGGGAAAACUGUCAACUCGGAGAUGUUAAUAAUAUCAUAGAGAUAUUGUCGUCUUCUCCGUAUACCAUGUGCCCCAGUGCAGUGUGACUUCUGUCAUCUAGGUUGCUGUAUGUGGGAGUGUUUGUGUACGUGCGUGAAUCCGCGAAUGCGUGUGUGUGUGUCCUUUUCAUACAGAGAACUUUUGUCCCUCCUUUCGGCUGUACCUCUCAAUUUAUUUAUGCGCUAUUAUCAUUGCUUUCACUUCCUCCCGUGUGGUGAUUGGAUAAGACAAUUUUACAGGAGCCAUUCUGAUUUGAUUAAGGACUCAGGAGAGACCAAUUCUACUAAGUCAUAUUUAAAGACUUUCUGGGUUUUUUUUGUGUUGCUGCUGGUGUUAUUAUCAUCGUGUAUUUAUCGUGUAUAUUUCGUGUAUUUUAACGAGCCGUGACAAACAUAUUAAUCAUAUCUGUGUAUGUGAGUAAAUGUGUCAAGGAGCAUGCCAAAUGAAUUCCAUGUGUCGUGUAUUAUAGGAGCGAUCCUCUUUGUAGGAACUCGUUUAAAGGGCAAGACCUUGUUCCUUCUGAUUACUAUUGGAGACUAGUAAUAAACUAGUAAUAAAUUAGUAAUAAACAUAUAUUUAGAAGCUCAA